RNAcentral lists this ribosomal RNA (540 nucleotides) under Bacteroides ovatus. RNAcentral describes it as "bacterial SSU rRNA". It matches the Rfam family "Bacterial small subunit ribosomal RNA", at positions 1 to 524 of the family's 1533-position model. Lineage: Bacteria; Pseudomonadati; Bacteroidota; Bacteroidia; Bacteroidales; Bacteroidaceae. The record is from RNAcentral.
CUUUUACAAUGAAGAGUUUGAUCCUGGCUCAGGAUGAACGCUAGCUACAGGCUUAACACAUGCAAGUCGAGGGGCAGCAUUUUAGUUUGCUUGCAAACUAAAGAUGGCGACCGGCGCACGGGUGAGUAACACGUAUCCAACCUGCCGAUAACUCGGGGAUAGCCUUUCGAAAGAAAGAUUAAUAUCCGAUGGUAUAUUUUCUCCGCAUGGUGAGAAUAUUAAAGAAUUUCGGUUAUCGAUGGGGAUGCGUUCCAUUAGUUUGUUGGCGGGGUAACGGCCCACCAAGACCACGAUGGAUAGGGGUUCUGAGAGGAAGGUCCCCCACAUUGGAACUGAGACACGGUCCAAACUCCUACGGGAGGCAGCAGUGAGGAAUAUUGGUCAAUGGACGAGAGUCUGAACCAGCCAAGUAGCGUGAAGGAUGACUGCCCUAUGGGUUGUAAACUUCUUUUAUAUGGGAAUAAAGUGUUCCACGUGUGGGAUUUUGUAUGUACCAUAUGAAUAAGGAUCGGCUAACUCCGUGCCAGCAGCCGCGGUAAU